Molecule: long non-coding RNA, 510 nt
Organism: Malus domestica (apple)
Lineage: Eukaryota; Viridiplantae; Streptophyta; Magnoliopsida; Rosales; Rosaceae
Source: RefSeq, a predicted model, not a curated record
CAUGGUCUCCAACUUGAGGCCUUUUCAGUUGCCAUUGGAAAAUUAGAUGCACACUUACCUAGACCUAAGCUUUAGUUUGUGGGUAGCUGCCGGAAUAAGGCAGAUGAAGAAAGAUUGCAACAUUUGAAAGAUAAAGCAGUUGAACUGAAGGUUGACGGGGACGUAGAAUUUCAUAAAAAUGUAUUAUACAAGUCUGUGCCAAGGAUUUCAUGUUCUGCAUCCUUUAAUGGACUUGGUGCAACUUCUGGGAGGGGCCAUCACAGGAAUCCAUUCAAUGACAGAUGAACAUUUUGGAAUAAGUGUUGUGGAGUAUAUGGCUGCAGGAGCCAUCCCAAUUGGGUUGGAUGAAGUGAUGGGGGAAGGCAGACAAUGGUGACAUACGGUGGUGAUAGGCGGCGGCGAGAUCGAGCUCUGGCGAGGUUGGAUGGUAAAUGCGGGGAUAUGGAAAAUGCAGAAAGUGAUUUAUAUUUUUUUUAUUUUUAAUAUCAUUCCUGUCGGUUUUAUCCGACA